This 68-nucleotide transfer RNA is filed under the name Marmota monax (woodchuck). Its description in RNAcentral is "tRNA.Glu". Lineage: Eukaryota; Metazoa; Chordata; Mammalia; Rodentia; Sciuridae. The record is from RNAcentral.
GGCAUAUGGCUCAGGGGUAGAGUGUCUGCCUUUCAUGAAUAUGGCCCUGGGUUGGAUCCCCAGUACCA